This 253-nucleotide ribosomal RNA is filed under the name uncultured bacterium. RNAcentral describes it as "partial 16S ribosomal RNA". It matches the Rfam family "Bacterial small subunit ribosomal RNA", at positions 524 to 776 of the family's 1533-position model. The record is from RNAcentral.
UACGGGGGGGGUAAGCGUUGUUCGGAAUUACUGGGCGUAAAGGGUUUGUAGGUGGCUUGCUAAGUCAGACGUGAAAUCCCUCAGCUUAACUGAGGAACUGCGUCUGAGACUGGCGAGCUUGAGCGCAGGAGAGGAACGCGGAAUUCCAGGUGUAGCGGUGAAAUGCGUAGAUAUCUGGGGGAACACCGGUGGCGAAGGCGGCGUUCUGGACUGCAACUGACACUGUAAAACGAAAGCCAGGGGAGCAAACGGG